UACAGAGGUCUCAAGCGUUGUUCGGAUUCAUUGGGCGUAAAGGGUGCGUAGGUGGCGCGCUAAGUCAGGUGUGAAAUCUCGGGGCUUAACUCCGAAACUGCAUUUGAUACUGGCGUGCUUGAGGACUGGAGAGGAGACUGGAAUUCAUGGUGUAGCAGUGAAAUGCGUAGAGAUCAUGAGGAAGACCAGUGGCGAAGGCGGGUCUCUGGGCAUUAACUGACGCUGAGGAGCGAAAGCAUGGGGAGCGAACAGG
This 253-nucleotide ribosomal RNA is filed under the name uncultured bacterium. Its description in RNAcentral is "partial 16S ribosomal RNA". It matches the Rfam family "Bacterial small subunit ribosomal RNA", at positions 524 to 776 of the family's 1533-position model. The record is from RNAcentral.